UUUAAAGUCUUGCCUGCCCACUGAUUUUAUUUAAUGGCCGCGGUAUUUUGACCGUGCUAAGGUAGCAUAAUCAUUAGUUUUUUAAUUGAAAGCUGGAAUGAAAGGUUUGAUGAAAAAAAAGCUGUCUCUGAUUAAAAAUUAAAAAUUUAUUUUUAAGUUAAAAAGCUUAAAUUUUUUUAAAAGACGAGAAGACCCUAUAGAGUUUUAUAGAUAUAAUUUUUAAGUUUUUUAGAAUUUAAUAUUUAAAUUUAAAUAUUUAUUUGAUUGGGGUGAUUAGAAAAUUAAAUUAACUUUUCUUUUUUAUUUCAUAAAUUAAUGUAUAAUUGAUCCAAAUUUUUUGAUUAAAAGUUUAAAUUACCUUAGGGAUAACAGCGUAAUUUUUUUUGAGAGUUCUAAUCGAAAAAAAAGAUUGCGACCUCGAUGUUGGAUUAAAAUUUACUUUUGGUGUAGAAGUUAAAAGUUUAGGUCUGUUCGACCUUUAGAAUUUUACA
This 491-nucleotide ribosomal RNA is filed under the name Lilioceris sp. BMNH#704401. RNAcentral describes it as "partial 16S ribosomal RNA". It matches the Rfam family "Bacterial large subunit ribosomal RNA", at positions 1844 to 2600 of the family's 2925-position model. Lineage: Eukaryota; Metazoa; Arthropoda; Insecta; Coleoptera; Chrysomelidae. The record is from RNAcentral.